This 488-nucleotide ribosomal RNA is filed under the name uncultured bacterium. RNAcentral describes it as "partial 16S ribosomal RNA". It matches the Rfam family "Bacterial small subunit ribosomal RNA", at positions 899 to 1397 of the family's 1533-position model. The record is from RNAcentral.
ACUCAAAUGAAUUGACGGGGACCCGCACAACCAGUGGAGCGUGUGGUUCAAUUCGAGACUAAGCGAAAAACCUCACCAAGGCUUGACAUGCAAGUGAAAAUCCUGUGAAAGCAGGACCCUCUCGCAAGAGACACUUGUGCAGGUGUUGCAUGGCUGUCGUCAGCUCGUGUCGUGAGAUGUUCCCUUAAGUGGGGAAACGAGUGCAACCCCUAUCCUGUGUUAAAUAUUCACAGAAGACUGCCCUGUUUUUGCAGGGAGGAAGGAGGGGCGGACGUCAAGUCAGCAUGACCCUUAUGCCUUGGGCUACACACACCCUACAAUGGCGAAUAACAACGAGCUGCAAACUCGCGAGAGUAAGCAAAUCUCUGAAAUUUCGCCUCAGUUCAGAUUGGAGUCUGCAAUUCGACUCCAUGAAGUCGGAAUUGGUAGUAAUCGCGAAUCAGAAGGUCGCGGUGAAUGCGUUCUCGGGUCUUGUACACACCGCCCGU